This 1574-nucleotide ribosomal RNA is filed under the name Vibrio cholerae. Its description in RNAcentral is "partial 23S ribosomal RNA". It matches the Rfam family "Bacterial large subunit ribosomal RNA", at positions 142 to 1770 of the family's 2925-position model. The record is from RNAcentral. Lineage: Bacteria; Pseudomonadati; Pseudomonadota; Gammaproteobacteria; Vibrionales; Vibrionaceae.
AAGCAGUUACUGUUAACUGAAUACAUAGGUUAACAGAGCAAACCGGGGGAACUGAAACAUCUAAGUACCCCGAGGAGAAGAAAUCAACCGAGAUUCCGGUAGUAGCGGCGAGCGAACCUGGAUUAGCCCUUAAGCACUCGGUGAAGUAGGUGAACAAGCUGGAAAGCUUGGCGAUACAGGGUGAUAGCCCCGUAACCGACGCUUCAUCGAGCGUGAAAUCGAGUAGGGCGGGACACGUGAUAUCCUGUCUGAAUAUGGGGGGACCAUCCUCCAAGGCUAAAUACUCCUGACUGACCGAUAGUGAACCAGUACCGUGAGGGAAAGGCGAAAAGAACCCCUGUGAGGGGAGUGAAAUAGAACCUGAAACCGUGUACGUACAAGCAGUAGGAGCACCUUCGUGGUGUGACUGCGUACCUUUUGUAUAAUGGGUCAGCGACUUAUAUUCAGUGGCAAGGUUAACCGUAUAGGGGAGCCGUAGCGAAAGCGAGUCUUAACUGGGCGCUCAGUCUCUGGAUAUAGACCCGAAACCGGGUGAUCUAGCCAUGGGCAGGUUGAAGGUUGAGUAACAUCAACUGGAGGACCGAACCGACUAAUGUUGAAAAAUUAGCGGAUGACUUGUGGCUAGGGGUGAAAGGCCAAUCAAACUCGGAGAUAGCUGGUUCUCCCCGAAAGCUAUUUAGGUAGCGCCUCGGACGAAUACUACUGGGGGUAGAGCACUGUUAAGGCUAGGGGGUCAUCCCGACUUACCAACCCUUUGCAAACUCCGAAUACCAGUAAGUACUAUCCGGGAGACACACGGCGGGUGCUAACGUCCGUCGUGGAGAGGGAAACAACCCAGACCGCCAGCUAAGGUCCCAAAGUAUUGCUAAGUGGGAAACGAUGUGGGAAGGCUCAGACAGCUAGGAUGUUGGCUUAGAAGCAGCCAUCAUUUAAAGAAAGCGUAAUAGCUCACUAGUCGAGUCGGCCUGCGCGGAAGAUGUAACGGGGCUAAGCAAUACACCGAAGCUGCGGCAAUAUCUUUUAGAUAUUGGGUAGGGGAGCGUUCUGUAAGCCGUUGAAGGUGGAUCGUAAGGUUUGCUGGAGGUAUCAGAAGUGCGAAUGCUGACAUGAGUAACGACAAAGGGGGUGAAAAACCUCCUCGCCGGAAGACCAAGGGUUCCUGUCCAACGUUAAUCGGGGCAGGGUGAGUCGACCCCUAAGGUGAGGCCGAAAGGCGUAAUCGAUGGGAAACGGGUUAAUAUUCCCGUACUUCUGACUAUUGCGAUGGGGGGACGGAGAAGGCUAGGUGGGCCAGGCGACGGUUGUCCUGGUUCAAGUGCGUAGGCUUGAGAGUUAGGUAAAUCCGGCUCUCUCUAAGGCUGAGACACGACGUCGAGCUGCUACGGCAGUGAAGUCAUUGAUGCCAUGCUUCCAGGAAAAGCCUCUAAGCUUCAGAUAGUCAGGAAUCGUACCCCAAACCGACACAGGUGGUCGGGUAGAGAAUACCAAGGCGCUUGAGAGAACUCGGGUGAAGGAACUAGGCAAAAUGGUACCGUAACUUCGGGAGAAGGUACGCUCUUGAUGGUGAAGUCCCU